GCUCAGGAUGAACGCUGGCGGUAUGCCUAACACAUGCAAGUCGAACGCAGUCUUAGGACUGAGUGGCGGACGGGUGAGUAACGCGUGAGAACCUGCCCUUAGGACGGGGAUAACAGUUGGAAACGACUGCUAAGACCCGAUGAGCCGAGAGGUAAAAAAUUUAUUGCCUAAGGAGGGGCUCGCGUCCGAUUAGCUAGUUGGUGAGGUAAGAGCUUACCAAGGCGACGAUCGGUAGCUGGUCUGAGAGGAUGAGCAGCCACACUGGGACUGAGACACGGCCCAGACUCCUACGGGAGGCAGCAGUGGGGAAUUUUCCGCAAUGGGCGAAAGCCUGACGGAGCAAUACCGCGUGAGGGAGGAAGGCCCUUGGGUUGUAAACCUCUUUUCUCAGGGAAGAAGAAAGUGACGGUACCUGAGGAAGAAGCCUCGGCUAACUCCGUGCCAGCAGCCGCGGUAAUACGGAGGAGGCAAGCGUUAUCCGGAAUUAUUGGGCGUAAAGCGUUCGCAGGCGGUUAAGCAAGUCCGCAGUCAAAGACCGGAGCUCAACUCCGGAGAGGCUGUAGAAACUGCAUAACUAGAGUGCGGUAGGGGUAGAGGGAAUUCCCAGUGUAGCGGUGAAAUGCGUAGAUAUUGGGAAGAACACCAGUGGCGAAAGCGCUCUACUGGACCGCAACUGACGCUCAGGGACGAAAGCUAGGGUAGCGAAAGGGAUUAGAUACCCCUGUAGUCCUAGCCGAAACGAUGA
RNAcentral lists this ribosomal RNA (745 nucleotides) under uncultured Halospirulina sp. RNAcentral's name for it is "bacterial SSU rRNA". It matches the Rfam family "Bacterial small subunit ribosomal RNA", at positions 22 to 812 of the family's 1533-position model. The record is from RNAcentral. Lineage: Bacteria; Bacillati; Cyanobacteriota; Cyanophyceae; Spirulinales; Spirulinaceae.